UUGACAGCUCUAGCUUUUCUCUGUUUAUCCACAGAACAGGCAAGGCAUGGUCAGUGACAGUGCCAGCUUCCUGCACACUGCCUUAUGUAUGUGCCUUAACACAGACCUAGGGAAAAUUCCUCCAGGAGUAGGAGCAGAGUUUAUUCAUGUCUCAUUCAUUGGCCUCU
This 167-nucleotide small RNA is filed under the name Chelonoidis abingdonii (Abingdon island giant tortoise). Its description in RNAcentral is "TUC338 (ENSCABG00000010524.1)". Lineage: Eukaryota; Metazoa; Chordata; Testudines; Testudinidae. The record is from RNAcentral.